ACUUCCCAUCAGCCCUUGAGGCUGCAGGGACCAGCCCUUUGGUAGGUGCGCUUUGCUUCCUAACCCGUUGCCGGGUUGGAGAUUCCACCUCCGAAGUUUUCUUUCUGACUUUUGAUUUUACAUUCCUAGUACAGUGGAGAAGCCCAGGCGGCCUAGAAUCCAGUGUCGUCCGUGAGUGCUUGGCUGGUGUUCAAGUGCAUCUUCCAGCCUGAGACCGCGUGGACUCGCUCAUCGUGAGGGCGAGAGGAGGAUAAGCCCAUUGGGCUGUCGGCUGAGAGUGAGGUGCGGGAUUGCUGAUGAAAUCCUUGGCAUCGUCGGAGAUCUCAUCGAAUGCCUCGUCGUCGAAGUCCCAGGUGGCUGAGGUAACGUUGGCCAAGGUUUCGUUAUCGUUGUCUCCCAUGAAGGGGGAAAGGCCACUGACUCUGGAGAGACAAGAGCAGGACAGCAGGUGUGGCUAGGAGAGGGCGCGACGACCAGAUGAGGGAAUUGAGGCACAGCCCAGGCUCAAGUCACCUGCCCAAAGAUUCACAGCCAGUGAGAUUGGAAGCCAGGUAUCUGCCUCUAGAGCCUGUCCUCUUAAAUGCUAUACUAUCCUAACAUUUCUGUAAAGAUGAAGUAAAUUGCAGUGUUCAGCACUGGCACCAGGCCUGGUCCACAGUAAGGAGGCGGUCCAUGCCCGGAGAUCUCAUGCAGUUCUGCUGGGUUCCCUCCACUGCCUUACCAAGCUGUGAGUGCAGGAAUGACUUUGUGACCAGCAGCUUAAGCCAAAUAAACUUUAUAAGGUAAAGAAUUUCAAAACAAAA
Homo sapiens (human) is the source of this 803-nucleotide long non-coding RNA. RefSeq annotates it as MYLK antisense RNA 1. The transcript is spliced from 3 exons. Lineage: Eukaryota; Metazoa; Chordata; Mammalia; Primates; Hominidae. The record is from RefSeq and is marked validated.